This 1302-nucleotide long non-coding RNA is filed under the name Chrysemys picta bellii (western painted turtle). Its description in RNAcentral is "lncRNA (ENSCPBG00000019286.1)". The record is from RNAcentral. Lineage: Eukaryota; Metazoa; Chordata; Testudines; Emydidae.
CCCCUAGAUCCUGGUGUCUGUGCCACCCUAGAGCCCCUCCCAGUCUGCCAGGGGCCACACCGAGCAGGGCUGGGAGCCUGUUGCACCAGGAGUGAGUGUGAGCAUCUGUCAGCAGAGACACGGACCCUUCACCACCCACCAUGGAGCCCCAGGUGCCGGGACGGAUGCCCAGGGCUGGACUCCUGCUGCUGCCCCUUCUCCUCUGCUUCGGGCCAGAGACCGCCGGGAGCAUCGACCCGGCCGCGCUCAAAAAAAUCGUGGAUCAUGUUCAUAAUAACGGCGGAGUUAACAAGCAAUAUGCUUUCGCUGUCACGCUGCCCCAUGGCACCUGCAGCAACCCCCAGGAUGUGGCCACCUAUCUGCCCAUGGCCCAGCUAGCAGACAUGAGAAAGAAGAUUGACUCGUUCGGUGCCCUGUACAACCUGCCCAACGGGAACAUUGUGGCUGCCCGGCCAAAGGAAGUGAAUAAACCGAAAGGGAAAUACACGGAGCACAGCGAGUGGCGUCUGCUCUCCGGCCCAAACAGCCUUGUGGCCCAGCUCACGGCCAGGACCUAUGGCCAGAACAGCUGCCUGAUCUUAUUCACCUUCAAUUCGCCCUGCUCCACCAAGUGUCUGCGCGAGAACGGGCGCUCCAACAUCGUGCAGAUGACCAGCGCUGCCUUCUCGGCCAUCAACAACAACUACAAGGCCUUCGUGUUCCAGAAGAUCUUCGACUAUGACAUGAAGCCUGAAGUGACCCGGAAGGACCUGCUGGAUGCCUGGCACCGGCUGCGCGAUGUGCCCCUGCUGCGCUGCGACAACAACGGCUGCCAGGACUGUGCUCCGGUGGACCCCCGAAACAACCCCUGCCUGGCUGGGAAGAAGUAGAUGAUGGAGCAGAGGCAGGAACCACGUGCGACUCUUUCUGCCACUGGCCUCCCUCGCUGCCCAUGUGCUUCUGGAUCGCUGAGUGUAACAGAAACAUGUCCCAACCAGGCACCAGGCUGCAAUCCAGAACCCCACUCUGACCUGUGCUCCAAUCUAGAACCCUAAUCCACAUGUGUGCUCCAAUCUAGAACCCUGUUCCUGGGCAUGUGUUGAUUUAGAAUGUGAUUUCUCAGUAUGUGCCAACCUAGAACCCCUUCCAGAGUCUGUUCCCAUCUAGAACCCCAUGCAUGGAUGUGUUAAAAUCUGCAAUCUAGAGCCCCAUUGCUGUGUGUGCUCCAAUUCAGUACCCCAUUCCCAUCUUCGGUUGUGAUCCAGCCUAGAACUCCAUCCCUGGGUGUGCUCCAAUCUGUGAUCUAGAAGCCCGUCCUUCUCC